GUGGAUUUACUAAAUGUAUCUAUCAAUAUCUACUACUAAUUCAAUUAUUAGGGGACAAAUUUUUUUUUAUUUAGUAAAUAAUAUUUUUAUUACAUGCCAUUUAGAAACUGCAAGAACAAUUCGGAUUAAGUGGCUUCAAUGCCUCUCUUUUGUCUACGUCUACUUUUCUACAUAAAUUGCGCGCAGAAACUCCUUUCUUUUUACAUCCCGUGUAGCAAGUUUACUACGCCAAAACCGUUAUUCCUGUCAUUAUCUCUACCUCUAAUCAUUCAGUAAAAUAUACGAUGGCAUUAAGUCUAACAUUAUGUAUUAAAUUUCGCUACUGACACUACAGCACUCAUAGCCACACUUCGCGUUCAGGCAAAGACGAGACGGUGUUGAUACGUCAACGACUAAAAUAGUAAUAAUACAGUUACGAUAUUUGGCAAUUAUAAUGAUCCCACAAAAGCUUUCCAUGUAGACAAAUGAUCAACAAUAACUUGAAUAGACCCGAAAACUCAUCUCUAUUAGGAACUAUCAUACACGGUGAUAAACAAUUUAGUGAAGUUCUUGUUGUUGCUGCUGUGUAGAUUUGUCGUUUCAACGCAUUCUCCGCUUCUCCACAUCUCGUUAUCCCUGACAUCACGAAAGACCUGGAAUUCUCUCAUUCGUCAUACUGUAUUACGUUGGACUCAGCGCAGUUCUUUCCCAUUCCAAAAGAAUCGAAUAAGCCACGAUCUGGUAAAAAUCGUUAAGAUGCGUUAAGAGGAUUUACACAUCGACGGAACGGUCGAUCACUUAGUGCAACUUCCGAGAUUCGGCGCCUAUAAUUUUUACUAUAUAAAGGGAGGGAAUGAAGACAAGUUGUGUUUUAGACACG
Schizosaccharomyces pombe (fission yeast) is the source of this 859-nucleotide non-coding RNA. NCBI's taxonomy places the organism in Eukaryota, Fungi, Ascomycota, Schizosaccharomycetes, Schizosaccharomycetales, Schizosaccharomycetaceae. The record is from the annotation of a GenBank genome assembly.